Rhipicephalus microplus (southern cattle tick) is the source of this 137-nucleotide small nuclear RNA. RefSeq annotates it as U4 spliceosomal RNA. Lineage: Eukaryota; Metazoa; Arthropoda; Arachnida; Ixodida; Ixodidae. The record is from RefSeq and is a predicted model, not a curated record.
AGCUUUGCGCCGAGGCGGUGUCGUACCCAAUGAAGUAACUGAGGGGCGACUAUUGCUAGUUGAAAACUUUGUAGAUUGGACUACAGAAACAACAUUAAAGACCAAUAAUUAUUUAAUUUUUCCGUUCGUUAGUAACG